Molecule: ribosomal RNA, 270 nt
Filed under: uncultured bacterium
Lineage: Bacteria
Description: partial 16S ribosomal RNA
Rfam family: Bacterial small subunit ribosomal RNA
Source: RNAcentral
UACGGAGGGUGCGAGCGUUAAUCGGAAUUACUGGGCGUAAAGCGCAUGCAGGUGGUUGUUAAGUCAGAUGUGAAAGCCCGGGGCUCAACCUCGGAAUUGCAUUUGAAAACUGGCAAACUAGAGUACUGUAGAGGGGGUAGAAUUUCAGGUGUAGCGGUGAAAAUGCGUAGAGAUCUGAAGGAAUACCGGUGGCGAAGGCGGCCCCCUGGACAGAUACUGACACUCAGAUGCGAAAGCGUGGGGAGCAAACAGGAUUAGAUACCCUGGUAG